RNAcentral lists this long non-coding RNA (1026 nucleotides) under Vitis vinifera (wine grape). RNAcentral describes it as "long non-coding RNA (VVIN_LNC007516)". The record is from RNAcentral. Lineage: Eukaryota; Viridiplantae; Streptophyta; Magnoliopsida; Vitales; Vitaceae.
CUAUGUAUUCAUAAUUUUUUGGAUGAAUAUGAAUUUAGGCACUAUUGAAUAGCAUGUGAUGUACUUCUUUUCCUUUUGAAAACUGAAAGAGCAAAAUGUUGUCUUUUAAUAGAGAAAAGUUGCUUUGCAAGUCUCACUAGAGCAAAAAACUCAUCUUAGGUACUUCAUCUCAAAAGGAAAAAAUGUUUUUCAUUUUUAUUAAUAAUAUCACCAUUAUCAGUAUUACUGUCAGUCCAUUGCUUAGGCAUGGUUACAAAGUCUACUAUUGCCAAUGCUCCCUCAUACCUGCAUUAUUCUUCUUAACACUACCAUUGCCACAUCCCCCUUCCUCCAAGGCUGAUACACGACCAUUAACACUGCCAUUGCCAACACACUGCUAGCUUUGUUCUUAAAGCAGCAAUUGACCCACUAUCUUAAGCUUACCGGGCUAACAUUCUUCAUCAUGUGUGGUAAAACCUGCAUCUGAAGAGUCAAACAGUAGGAACAACAGAGUAAAUAAAUUGGGGAGGAAACAGACCAAGGAACUUGACUUUGAGACUUGUAGAAACCAGAGUUCUGAUGCCAAGUUAAGCUAGAAAUUGACCCAGAAGCUUAAGCUUAUCAGGGUAACAACUGCAGUUGUCAUUGUGAUCACUACAAAUGCCAUUGCCAGCAUCACCGCCACCACUACCACCAUCUGAAGAUGCUCCUGCACAAUCAUAAACACUGUUUUGCCUCAGCCUCUGUUGCCAAUUAGCAUUACCUCUCCUACUAAUAUCACUGUUAACAGCUCCUCCUAGCUUCACCAUUGGUACUAGCAGUACAAUCUUGCACCACUAUUGGCACUAUUGCCAACAUCACUUGUAAGACCUCUAUCACCAGCACCUCGAACAACAUAGGCUUUGCAUUGUAUUUCACUUGCCUCUUCUAGUUGACUCCAACUAGUUGAGAUUAAGGUUCUGUUGAAUUGAGGAGGUUCGCUUUAGUAAAGUACUUCAGAUUGACUAGAAUAUUAUAUUUCUGAAAAGAAAAAAUGUGGCAUUUUAC